CCUACGGGUGGCAGCAGUGGGGAAUAUUGCACAAUGGGGGAAACCCUGAUGCAGCGACGCCGCGUGAGUGAAGAAGUAAUUCGGUACGUAAAGCUCUAUCAGCAGGGAAGAAAAUGACGGUAUCUCAGGAAGAAGCCCCGGCUAACUCCGUGCCAGCAGCCGCGGUAAUACGUAGGGGGCAAGCGUUAUCCGGAUUUACUGGGUGUAAAGGGAGCGUAGGCGGGCCGGAAAGUCUGGAGUGAAAUGCUGCAGCUUAACUGCAGAACUGCGUUUGAAACUGGCGGACUAGAGUGUGGGAGGGGUAGGCGGAAUUCCUAGUGUAGCGGUGAAAUGCGUAGAUAUUAAGAGGAACACCGAUGGCGAAGGCGGCUUACUGGAACGUAACUGACGUUGAGGCUCGAAAGCGUGGGGAGCAAACAGGAUUAGAUACCCGGGUAGUC
This 440-nucleotide ribosomal RNA is filed under the name uncultured bacterium. RNAcentral's name for it is "partial 16S ribosomal RNA". It matches the Rfam family "Bacterial small subunit ribosomal RNA", at positions 338 to 795 of the family's 1533-position model. The record is from RNAcentral.